This 494-nucleotide ribosomal RNA is filed under the name uncultured bacterium. RNAcentral's name for it is "partial 16S ribosomal RNA". It matches the Rfam family "Bacterial small subunit ribosomal RNA", at positions 28 to 507 of the family's 1533-position model. The record is from RNAcentral.
GACGAACGCUGGUGGCGUGCUUAACACAUGCAAGUCGAACGGUGAAGCGCCUUCCUUUUUGGUGGGUGUGGAUGAGUGGCGAACGGGUGAGUAACACGUGAGUAACCUGCCCCCUUCUUCUGGAUAACCGCAUGAAAGUGUGGCUAAUACGGGAUAUUCUGGGUCUGUCGCAUGAUGGGUCUGGGAAAGAUAUUGUUUCGGUGGGGGAUGGGCUCGCGGCCUAUCAGCUUGUUGGUGGGGUGAUGGCCUACCAAGGCGGUGACGGGUAGCCGGCCUGAGAGGGUGGACGGUCACACUGGGACUGAGACACGGCCCAGACUCCUACGGGAGGCAGCAGUGGGGAAUAGUGCACAAUGGGCGCAAGCCUGAUGCAGCGACGCCGCGUGAGGGAUGGAGGCCUGCGGGUUGUGAACCUCUUUCGCCAGUGAAGCAGGCCUGCCUCGUUUGUGGGUGGGUUGACGGUAGCUGGAGAAGAAGCGCCGGCUAACUACGUG